AUUACAGUGAGACUGUGGGAAUAGUAGUAGCUGCGGCUGUGGAUGCACAGCUUGGGAGAAAAGCAGUACAGGUCAUGUGGGCUUAUCAAAGGGGCGCUUACUGAGAGUUCUUUGGCAUUCUGUCCACCUCCUUGUCGAAUCCUCAGAGACAGAAAUCUCAUAUCUGUUGAUCUUGGAGGUGGGCAUACUGCCAAUGGAGCUGUGUAGGCCUCCCUUUGUAAAACCCAUAUGACUCAAAAUCAAGAGAGAGAGGGUCUUGUUAAUUAGAUCUGAUUAGUUCUUUGGAAACCCUAACCAAGCCUGUACAUACUCUCGCUGAACUUGUGAGUGGUACUCGACUCGAUCCUAACAUGCAUGCUUCACUUCGAUCGGUUCUCUCUGUGACCUUUCUUGGUUAGGGUUUGGGUUUUGUGCCUGUGACUGGUGAUGGUAAUGAUGAGAUGCGGCAUUCUUUUUCUUUGCCUUAUCAUUUCCUCCCUCUGUACAUGCAUCGAUCUGCUCCGCCUUUUCUUCUCUCCUGUUCCAAUAUAUAUUUUGCUGUAAAUAUAUGAGCGCAAGUUGCGGGCAGAAAUUUCAUGCGCUUCAUGAUUUCGGUGGCAGAACUCAGCGUGCACCAGUCACCAGUGCACAGUACAGCUGUCUGUGCGUCAAAUUUUGUUUAGAUCGGUCUUUUCAUAUUUCAAAUGCGAAUGCUCCCGGUCUUGGGGGUAUAUAGGAGUAGAUGAUAGUCCAUGGCCUGUGUCCUCUAGAUCUCCAAGUAGCUUUGCCCAAUACAGGUUAAUCAUUACCUGCUUGGA
RNAcentral lists this small RNA (797 nucleotides) under Oryza sativa Japonica Group (Japanese rice). RNAcentral's name for it is "sRNA Os02g0668700". The stretch from base 97 to 208 matches the Rfam family "MIR394 microRNA precursor family". The record is from RNAcentral. Lineage: Eukaryota; Viridiplantae; Streptophyta; Magnoliopsida; Poales; Poaceae.